GCUCCGGUGGUGUAGCCCGGUCAAUCAUACGGGCCUUUCGAGCCCGUGACCCGGGUUCAAAUCCCGGCCGGAGCA
Archaeoglobus profundus DSM 5631 is the source of this 75-nucleotide transfer RNA. It matches the Rfam family "tRNA". From Rfam's summary of the family: Transfer RNA (tRNA) molecules are approximately 80 nucleotides in length. Their secondary structure includes four short double-helical elements and three loops (D, anti-codon, and T loops). The record is from Rfam. Lineage: Archaea; Methanobacteriati; Methanobacteriota; Archaeoglobi; Archaeoglobales; Archaeoglobaceae.